This 1963-nucleotide ribosomal RNA is filed under the name human gut metagenome. RNAcentral describes it as "bacterial LSU rRNA". It matches the Rfam family "Bacterial large subunit ribosomal RNA", at positions 1 to 1989 of the family's 2925-position model. The record is from RNAcentral.
UAAAGCAAGAAAGGGCGUAUGGGGAAUGCCUAGGCACACUCCGGCGAAGAAGGACGCAGCAAACAGCGAAAUGCGACGGUGAGCGGUAAGCACGUGAAGAGCCGUCGAUAUCCGAAUGGGGGAACCCACACGGAGUCAUAUCCGUGUAUCACAUGUCGAAUACAUAGACAUGAUGAGGCGAGACGCAGGGAACUGAAACAUCUAAGUACCUGCAGGAAGAGAAAAUAAGAAUGAUUUUCUGAGUAGCGGCGAGCGAAAGGGAAAGAGCCCAAACCGAUCUGAGGAUCGGGGUAGUAGGAUCAUCGAUAAAUCAAACAGAGGAUCAUAGAGGAAUCACAUGGGAAGGUGAGCGAGAGAGGGUGAGAGCCCCGUACUCGAAAUGAGAGACUGGAGAGAGAUGACACCUGAGUAGGGCGGGACACGAGAAAUCCUGUCUGAAUCAGCCGGGACCAUCCGGCAAGGCUAAAUACGAGAGAGUGACCGAUAGUGAACCAGUACCGUGAGGGAAAGGUGAAAAGAACCCCGGGAGGGGAGUGAAAGAGAACCUGAAACCAUAUGCCUACAAGAAGUCAGAGCCCGUUAAAGGGUGAUGGCGUGCCUUUUGUAGAAUGAACCGGCGAGUUACUGUAUGGAGCGAGGUUAAGCAGGAUAUGCGGAGCCGAAGCGAAAGCGAGUCUUAAGAGGGCGCGAGUUGCAUGCAGUAGACCCGAAACCGGGUGAUCUAGCCAUGACCAGGUUGAAGUUGGGGUAAAACCCGAUGGAGGACCGAACCGACCCCCGUUGAAACGUUGGCGGAUGAGUUGUGGCUAGGGGUGAAAUUCCAAUCGAACCCGGAGAUAGCUGGUUCUCCCCGAAAUAGCUUUAGGGCUAGCGUCGAGAGAAGAGUUGCGUGAAGGUAGAGCACUGAAUAUGUGAUGGCCCCAUCUCGGGGUACUGAGCAUAAUCAAACUGCGAAUGUCACGCCAACAUGCUCGGCAGUCAGACAGCGGGUGAUAAGGUCCGUUGUCAAGAGGGAAACAGCCCAGACCAUCAGCUAAGGUCCCAAAAUGUAUGCUAAGUGGAAAAGGAUGUGGAGAUGUACAGACAACUAGGAGGUUGGCUCAGAAGCAGCCAUCCUUUAAAGAGUGCGUAACAGCUCACUAGUCGAAUGACUCUGCGCCGAUAAUUUACCGGGGCUAAGCAUACUACCGAAGCUAUGGAUCCCAAGGGAUGGUAGGGGAGCGUUCCAUGAACGGAGAAGUACGACCGAAAGGACGUGUGGAGAUCAUGGAAGAGAGAAUGCCGGUGUGAGUAGCGGAACGUGGGUGAGAAUCCCACGCACCGAAAACCCAAGGUUUCCAGAGGAAGGUUCGUCCGCUCUGGGUAAGUCGGGACCUAAGGCGAGGCCGAAAGGCGUAGUCGAUGGACAACAGGUAGAGAUUCCUGUACCCGUAUAUAUGUGAAGGAAUGACGGAGAGAGGAAGCUGCAGCCAGCGGCUGGAAGAGCUGGUGCAAGCGAGAUAUCGGGAUGGCAGGCAAAUCCACCAUCCGAAACGAGAAGGCGUGAAGCGUACGGAAAGCUAAGGCGAGUACGGAAGGCAGUGGAGGAGCUUCCAAGAAAAGUUUCUAACGAAAGUAUAUGUGACCCGUACCGAAAAUGGACACACAUGGGUGAGGAGAGAAUCCUAAGGUGAGCGAGAGAACUAUAGCUAAGGAACUCUGCAAAAUGACUCCGUAACUUAGGGAGAAGGAGUGCUCAUAGAGAUAUGAGCCGCAGUGAAACGGCCCAAGCGACUGUUUACCAAAAACACAGCUCUCUGCUAAGCCGCAAGGCGAAGUAUAGGGGGUGACGCCUGCCCGGUGCUGGAAGGUUAAGGGGAGGGGUUAACGCAAGUGAAGCCCUGAACUGAAGCCCCAGUAAACGGCGGCCGUAACUAUAACGGUCCUAAGGUAGCGAAAUUCCUUGUCAGGUAAGUUCUGACCC